Molecule: ribosomal RNA, 277 nt
Filed under: uncultured prokaryote
Description: partial 16S ribosomal RNA
Rfam family: Bacterial small subunit ribosomal RNA
Source: RNAcentral
GACGUAGGGGCGAGCGUUGUCCGGAAUUACUGGGCGUAAAGAGCACGUAGGCGGGAACUUAAGUCAGGUGUGAAAGACCGUGGCUCAACCACGGGGUGGCAUUUGAAACUGGGCGACUUGAGGACGGGAGAGGGCAGUGGAAUUCCUGGUGUAGCGGUGAAAUGCGUAGAUAUCAGGAGGAACACCCGUGGCGAAGGCGGCUGCCUGGUCCGUAUCUGACGCUGAGGCGCGAAAGCCAGGGGAGCGAACGGGAUUAGAUACCCUGGUAGUCCCUGAG